UGCCAGCCGCCGCGGUAAUACGGGGGAUGCAAGCGUUAUCCGGAAUCAUUGGGCGUAAAGCGCCUGUAGGUUGUUUAAUAAGUCUGUUGUUAAAGACUAGGGCUCAACCCUAGAAAAGCAAUGGAAACUACUAGACUAGAGUAUGGCAGGGGUAGAGGGAAUUUCUAGUGUAGCGGUGAAAUUCGUAGAUAUUUGGAGGAACACCAGUGGCGAAGGCGGCUUUCUGGACAGUGACUGACGCUGAGGCGCGAAAGCGUGGGUAGCAAACAGGAUUAGAUA
RNAcentral lists this ribosomal RNA (279 nucleotides) under uncultured bacterium. Its description in RNAcentral is "partial 16S ribosomal RNA". It matches the Rfam family "Bacterial small subunit ribosomal RNA", at positions 506 to 784 of the family's 1533-position model. The record is from RNAcentral.